CUGACAUUGGGGACUGCAAGGCCUGGAUUCUUAUUUGCUUUGUCUAUAUCCUAUAGUUAUUUAUCUGUGAAUAUGUCAUAUUCCUCUUGUAGAAUCCCUUGAGAGCAGGGAUGGUCACACUUUUAUGUUUUUAUUCUCAGUGCUUUAUACAAUUCCUGACUAAUAGAGGACAUAAAAUAAAUACUUGUUGACUGAUUAAUUGAUUAAUAAUCUGUCUUUAAACAUACUAACAACUUAGACAUAAACUGGUCACCCAAUCUAUAAGUGUCCUUUACAAUUCUUUAAAACUAUCAGUUACAGAUGGCUUGAUGAUCUGUAUCAGUGGAGGGAGUUCUUCACAGUGAGUAUCUAGGUGAUUGUCUAAUAAAUAGAAUGUUGGACUUGGAAUGAGGAAGAUAUGAGUUUGAAUUCUGCCUUGGAUUGUCCUGAGUGACUAGCUAGUUGUAAAGCAUGGAUUGUCUCUGGGUUUCAGCUUCCUCAUCUAUGAUAGGGAUGAUAAUAGAACUGAUAGUAUAGAGUUGUUGUGAAGCUGAAAUGACUUCAUGGAGACACUGACACAAGACCAUCCAGCAUGAUGUGGCCACAUCAAAGAAGUAGGCAGGGCAUGAGAGACCAAAGUACCACCUGAAUGGCAAUGCACAGUCCAACCUGGGGAGUCCCUAUGCUUCAAAAAUUUUCUCUGAUACAACUUCAUCUGACUUGUGGCCCAUUCUCUCAGGACCAUGUGAGUUGUUUCUCUGGAUGUGGAUACAUUUUUUCUCAUAAGUUCCUCUGGAUUUGUCCUGGAUCAUUGCAUUGCUGAUAUCAGAAAAGUCUAUUGCAUUCAAUUGUGCCAUAAUGUAUCAGUCUCUGUGUACAGUGUUCCCCUGGUUCUGCUCCUUUCACUUUGCAUCAAUUCCUGGAGGUCUUUCCAGUUUACAUAGAAAUCCUCUAGUUCAUCAUUCCUUUUAGCACAAUAGUAUUCCAUCACCAUCAGAUGCCACAAUUUGUUCAGACAUUUCCCAAUCAAUGAACAGCUCUUCAUUUUCCAAAUUUUUGCUACCACAAAAAGCACAGCUAUAAAUAUUUUUGUACAGGUAUUUUUCCUUUUUAUCUCUUUGGGGUACAAACCCAUCAGUGGUAUGGAUGGAUCAAAGGGCAGGCAUUCUUUUAAAGCCCUUUGUGCAUAGGUCCAAAUUGCCCUGCAGAAUGGUUGGACCAAUUCACAACUGCACCAGCAGUAUAUUAGUGUUGCAAUUUUGCCACAUCCUCUCCAACAUUUAUCGCAUUCCUUUGCUGACAUAUUAGCCAGUCUGAUAGGUGUGAGAUAUCUGACACCAACCAUGAUUAUUAAAACCCAUUCAUAUCCUUUCAAUACUUAUGCUACAUGUUCUUCAAAUUAUUCCAGGAGGCACACCCAACAAAAUGGGGCUUUUAUAUUUUCUUUUUU
RNAcentral lists this long non-coding RNA (1429 nucleotides) under Monodelphis domestica (gray short-tailed opossum). Its description in RNAcentral is "lncRNA (ENSMODG00000044755.1)". The record is from RNAcentral. Lineage: Eukaryota; Metazoa; Chordata; Mammalia; Didelphimorphia; Didelphidae.